AGUGAACGCUGGCGGUAGGCCUAACACAUGCAAGUCGAACGGCAGCACAGUAAGAGCUUGCUCUUACGGGUGGCGAGUGGCGGACGGGUGAGGAAUACAUCGGAAUCUACUUUUUCGUGGGGGAUAACGUAGGGAAACUUACGCUAAUACCGCAUACGACCUACGGGUGAAAGCAGGGGAUCUUCGGACCUUGCGCGAUUGAAUGAGCCGAUGUCGGAUUAGCUAGUUGGCGGGGUAAAGGCCCACCAAGGCGACGAUCCGUAGCUGGUCUGAGAGGAUGAUCAGCCACACUGGAGCUGAGACACGGUCCAGACUCCUACGGGAGGCAGCAGUGGGGAAUAUUAGACAAUGGGCGCAAGCCUGGUCCAGCCAUACCGCGUGGGUGAAGAAGGCCUUCGGGUUGUAAAGCCCUUUUGUUGGGAAAGAAAAGCAGCAGGUUAAUACCCCGCUGUUCUGACGGUACCCGAAGAAUAAGCACCGGCUAACUUCGUG
RNAcentral lists this ribosomal RNA (492 nucleotides) under uncultured bacterium. Its description in RNAcentral is "partial 16S ribosomal RNA". It matches the Rfam family "Bacterial small subunit ribosomal RNA", at positions 29 to 507 of the family's 1533-position model. The record is from RNAcentral.